RNAcentral lists this ribosomal RNA (207 nucleotides) under uncultured bacterium. Its description in RNAcentral is "partial 16S ribosomal RNA". It matches the Rfam family "Bacterial small subunit ribosomal RNA", at positions 568 to 774 of the family's 1533-position model. The record is from RNAcentral.
UGCGUAGGCGGCUUGGUAAGUUGGGUGUGAAAGCCCUGGGCUCAGCCCGGGAAGGGCACUCGAAACUGCCGAGCUGGAGUGCCGGAGGGGAGAGUGGAAUUCCUGGUGUAGCGGUGAAAUGCGUAGAGAUCAGGAGGAAUACCGGUGGCGAAAGCGACUCUCUGGACGGCAACUGACGCUGAGGCACGAAAGCGUGGGGAGCAAACA